This 154-nucleotide ribosomal RNA is filed under the name uncultured fungus. RNAcentral describes it as "partial 5.8S ribosomal RNA". It matches the Rfam family "5.8S ribosomal RNA". From Rfam's summary of the family: 5.8S ribosomal RNA (5.8S rRNA) is a component of the large subunit of the eukaryotic ribosome. It is transcribed by RNA polymerase I as part of the 45S precursor that also contains 18S and 28S rRNA. Functionally, it is thought that 5.8S rRNA may be involved in ribosome translocation. Lineage: Eukaryota; Fungi. The record is from RNAcentral.
AAGUUUCAACAACGGAUCUCUUGGCUCUCGCAUCGAUGAAGAACGCAGCGAAAUGCGAUAAGUAAUGUGAAUUGCCGAAUUCAGUGAAUCAUCGAAUCUUUGAACGCACCUUGCGCUCCUUGGUAUUCCUCGGAGCAUGCCUGUCUGAGUAUCA